This 133-nucleotide small nuclear RNA is filed under the name Chelonoidis abingdonii (Abingdon island giant tortoise). RNAcentral describes it as "U4 spliceosomal RNA (ENSCABG00000004103.1)". The record is from Rfam by way of RNAcentral. Lineage: Eukaryota; Metazoa; Chordata; Testudines; Testudinidae.
AGUCAAAGGCAAGGCAGUAUCGUAGCCAAUGAAGUUAAUCCGAGGCACGAUUAUUGCUAUUUGAACAGAUAAUCCAUAUCAUACACAGGUGGAGGCUUUCUUCAGUUUUUGAAGAACAGCCAGUCCAGGUUGU